Long non-coding RNA from Gavialis gangeticus (Gharial), 1563 nucleotides. RefSeq lists it as uncharacterized. The record is from RefSeq and is a predicted model, not a curated record. The transcript is spliced from 2 exons. NCBI's taxonomy places the organism in Eukaryota, Metazoa, Chordata, Crocodylia, Gavialidae.
ACCCUGCUGGCUUAGCCCAGCAUCUGAGGACACUGCUAUUGCUCUUAACAGUUCCUAAGACCUGCCUCAACACAAAAGCUUUCAAGGAAGUUCCAAAAAUAAGUGACUGUUUGCUCCUACUGCAGGCUUUGUGUUCAGAUUGCUUGGACAAUGACUCUGCCCCUGAAUAGGGCUCCAGAAUCCAAGCUUGUUUUAUUUUUAAAAAUACAGUCAGUGUCAAUUACACCUGGCUCACAGUUUGGAAUGUUUUUAUUUUUUGGUAUACUGAGGUGCUGGCUAGUUCAGUGUGCAGACAACUGAAAUAAUAGCCCAAAUUAGCGUCCACACCUGUCCUGUUCACCUCAGUAGCAAAUAACUGCUGAAAUCUAGUGAGGCAAACUUAAGAGUGGUUUUCAAAUGUGUGCAACAUGUAUCCACUUUCCAAAUUUAAUUCAGAUGUUUUUAUUUACAUUUUCCUCGUUCUUCAUUUCCUGUUCUAUAGAGGUGGUUAGUUGUGUUAGUCCAAAGUCAAAUUGAAGACAGGGCAGAGUGGCAACUUGGAGACGAGCUGGUUCGGCAGGGUAUGAGCAUUUUUAGGUAACACCUUACUUUUCCAGUUGCUGCCAGUUGACCAAGACAUUAAUUAUUAUCCACAGCUCUGACAAAGGUUGUUGUCUACAAAGGCUCCUGUCUCUCUGAGCCAGUUGGUCUCUAAGGGCUCCUAUAGAUGUGCACAGAGUCUGCUCCAAUAUGCUGGAAAUCCAGUUCUUCGUUGGAGCAGACUCAAUUAAUUGAUUCUGCUAGAGCACAGAAAUUGACACAUUCCGCGACACGUGUAUCAGCGUCCUCGUGCGUCCCUGAGCUGCAAAAAUGGUGGUGGGGUGCUCUGAAAUAAAACGCGUUCAGUGAGCUUUAAUUCAGAGCACCCCGCCACCAUUUUUACAGUGCAGGGACAUGCGGUGAUGCUAAUGCAUGUGUGCUUUUAAUUAGCACAGCUCUUUAAUUAAAGUGCCUGGCACUGGGUCCCAGAACUUAUGUAAAAAUGCCCUAAGAUGCCCCCCUGCCCUGCUUUCUGCUUUUGUAUUAUGUAGUUGUUAAAUAGGCAAAGGGGCUGUUUUGCUUUUGUUCCUUUAAUUGCUUCCUAAUUGUUAGACUUCUCUUGUAAGUUGUUUCACAGUUAAAAUGUUUGUCUGAUGGAGACAAAUUCAGGGCUUGAACUCUUCCUGUAAGUAUGUACAUAUGCACAUGCACAGAUAGAUUUGCAGCCACUUUCCCAUAAAUUGAACUUGCAUGAGGUCAAAGCUAUAAUUCUCUGGAUUCAGCUAUAAUUUCACCUGAAUUUUUUUCUUCCCCUGGAGUUUGUAGUCUGAAGGCAAAGUAGAUCUGGAGCUCCUAAAUCACUUGAAAGCACAACCUGCAGGCACCCAGUACAGUAUUAGGUUCCUGUUUCUAAAAGUUUUGGUGAGUGUGAGUGUGAGUGUGUGUCAUUCUUAAUGCCUGUUCAGUGACUAACUUGUUACUGCUAACACUGAAGUCAAUCUGGCUUUUAAGUAACAAAAGUUUAUGCUAGCUAGAAAAAUGUUU